GUCGAGCGAACAGAUAAGGAGCUUGCUCCUUUGACGUUAGCGGCGGACGGGUGAGUAACACGUGGGUAACCUACCUAUAAGACUGGGAUAACUUCGGGAAACCGGAGCUAAUACCGGAUAACAUUUGGAACCGCAUGGUUCUAAAGUGAAAGAUGGUUUUGCUAUCACUUAUAGAUGGACCCGCGCCGUAUUAGCUAGUUGGUAAGGUAACGGCUUACCAAGGCAACGAUACGUAGCCGACCUGAGAGGGUGAUCGGCCACACUGGAACUGAGACACGGUCCAGACUCCUACGGGAGGCAGCAGUAGGGAAUCUUCCGCAAUGGGCGAAAGCCUGACGGAGCAACGCCGCGUGAGUGAUGAAGGGUUUCGGCUCGUAAAACUCUGUUAUUAGGGAAGAACAAACGUGUAAGUAACUGUGCACGUCUUGACGGUACCUAAUCAGAAAGCCACGGCUAACUACGUGCCAGCAGCCGCGGUAAUACGUAGGUGGCAAGCGUUAUCCGGAAUUAUUGGGCGUAAAGCGCGCGUAGGCGGUUUCUUAAGUCUGAUGUGAAAGCCCACGGCUCAACCGUGGAGGGUCAUUGGAAACUGGGAAACUUGAGUGCAGAAGAGGAAAGUGGAAUUCCAUGUGUAGCGGUGAAAUGCGCAGAGAUAUGGAGGAACACCAGUGGCGAAGGCGACUUUCUGGUCUGUAACUGACGCUGAUGUGCGAAAGCGUGGGGAUCAAACAGGAUUAGAUACCCUGGUAGUCCACGCCGUAAACGAUGAGUGCUAAGUGUUAGGGGGUUUCCGCCCCUUA
Molecule: ribosomal RNA, 800 nt
Filed under: Staphylococcus sp. K108
Lineage: Bacteria; Bacillati; Bacillota; Bacilli; Caryophanales; Staphylococcaceae
Description: bacterial SSU rRNA
Rfam family: Bacterial small subunit ribosomal RNA
Source: RNAcentral